Molecule: long non-coding RNA, 1268 nt
Organism: Brassica napus (rape)
Lineage: Eukaryota; Viridiplantae; Streptophyta; Magnoliopsida; Brassicales; Brassicaceae
Exons: 5
Source: RefSeq, a predicted model, not a curated record
CUUAAUUAGGGGUUACAAGAGACGGGUCUUAUGACACACGUGUCCCCCUUUGGGCUUUCAUCUCUUCCGCGACUUCGAUAUUGCUCUCUUGGGUUUGAAGGAGGAGCUUGGCUCUCUCGAUUGGGGCCACGAUCGUGUAGCCGACGCCUCCCAUCACGGCUCCGGCGAGUAGCCGUUCGUCCUCUCUAGAUUCUUCCAUCUCUCCUCCUGUCCUUUUCUAUACUCACCGCUCUCUGAAAGGUGUAACCUUUUUCACUUUUACACGACAACAAUGGCGGAUUGGGCUCCGAUUAUCGUCAGCGUCAUCCUCUUCGUGAUUCUCUCCUGGACUUCUCCUCUCACUGCCCCGAACCAACCGAGGAGUAGACUUCGGUAAUCUCAAAACCAACGGAAAAGCCAUAGCUGUUCACACUCUCAUCUUCUUCGCCAUUUACUCUAUUUUGAUCAUCGCCGCCAAUCUACACAUCUACAGCGGUUGUUUGUAUGAAUUAAAGCUUGUCUUUGGGAGCAGCAUUUAGUUCUCCGACGUCUCCCAUGAUCAAGCGUCCAAAGAGAAAAGUAACGUUUUCUCUUCUUCUAGGAUUAUCAGGAGAGAUCAUCAACCUGAGGUUGAGGCAAACUCUUGGGAUAUCUCAUCAACCUGAGGUUGAACAAGCUUCAAACAGCUAAGGUGAAAGCACAUAAGAUCAUUGAGAAAGCCCCACAGCUUCCUGAAGAUAUAAAGUGGCAUUUCAUUGGGAAUCUGCAGAGCAACAAAGUGAAGCCUUUGCUAACGGGAGUGCCUAACCUUGUGAUGGUGGAAAGUGUAGACGAUGAGAAGGUCUAAAGAUUCGAAACCCACAGGAAGAAGAGUCGAAAUGGAUUGGGGUGGAGCCAGUAAAAGGAGGUCUUGUUGUUAAAAUGGGAGAUUCGGUUCAAAAGUACAAUACACCGUGCGGUUUGGAGCAAGACGCACCACCGUGUCUCAGCCGCAAAUUUAUCCGGCCCUCCCAAGAACAUUCUGAUCAACCCGUUGACUGGCGACAAGGACCUCCUAUCUAUCGGCGUUUGGCAUGGGAAGAGUACCUUGUAGCCAACCCUAAACACUUUAACAAGACCUUGACUUUGUGCCGUUGCUGAAACAUAAAUUUAAAGAGUUUUGGUGUUGGUAUAGUAUAAACACUUUAACAACGCUAAACGUCUACUUUUGAUGUUGUCAUGUUGAAGAGUUUGUAUUGGUAUUGUAUUCAGCUCCACGUUUCGUUUGGUUAUUGAAUUUGUUUCACGAA